CCUGCAACACCUGAAGCAUCGCAAGCGUAUUGCCUACCCUACCCUUGACCCUCUCCAGGAGCUCUGGCCGGAGUAAGUAAGGUACCACACUCAAGCUCAUUCAGUAUUUAAAAGAAAUCAAGACUGUUUAAAAAGUAAUAAAAACUGUUUUCAAAAUAUUCAAAUAAAUAUAGAUAUUAAUGAAUUAAAUAUAUUAAACCUUAUAAGAAGAAAA
RNAcentral lists this unclassified non-coding RNA (214 nucleotides) under Melitaea cinxia (Glanville fritillary). Its description in RNAcentral is "misc RNA ENSMCXG00005011441.1". The record is from RNAcentral. Lineage: Eukaryota; Metazoa; Arthropoda; Insecta; Lepidoptera; Nymphalidae.